AAGAAGAUGCUUGGUUACACACCUUACCAGGGUCUCAGGGAUUCGCCACUUAACCAGUUGGUCCUCAAGUUUCAUCCAGCUCUGGUUUCUGUGACUCUGUAAGGGCAAGGACGAUUUUCUGGUGGCUUCACGUGGUAGAAUGACAGGUUGAUGGGCAAAGACUGGAAAGUCCACCUGAUGUUAUUUCAGUUGGCUAGAGCCUAUAAACAUUCAUUGCUGCUGUGCUUAGUUUGGACAUACAGAGAUUAACAAGAUACAGGGUUGGUUCUGGGCAAUCUCCUGUGAUUGAUGACUAGAAAAUCAGAUAUUAACACAACCCCUAAGCCCAUACCUCUUGCACACUUGUACCAAUAUCACCUUGUGUUCUUUUGUCUUCUGACCUUCCCUCUGGGAAAGUACUAGCAACUCUGAGACAGAGUAUCACAGUCCCCUGGCUAAGAGCUUCCACUUGCAGUUAGGAGAAUGGAGUCCCUAUAAUGUUAUUAGUUACAAACAGAGAAGCUAAAAUGCUUAUUCCUCUGGGAGAGGCAACCCAGACCUCAGAUUGCAUUAGGAUCUGCAUGAUUAACAGCAGCUCAUUUCCUGGAUGCUGACUUUGGUCAGGGGAGUGAAGGUGAAGCAGAGGGAGUGGCUCAGCACCAGAGCCUCAGGUCAGCAAGGACAGGGAAGCUUCUGUCUGUAGUGCCCAAGCUACCAGACUCCCAGGGACCGAAGCACAGCUCCAAAUGCAGCUGAAUCUGGGCCUCUACCUGCCAGCCACCAACCCCUCCCCUGAUCCCAGUGAUUUCUAAGCGCUGCUCAGAAGGAUCUGCCACAGCUCAGUCCUGUCCUUUUGUUUGGAGUCCCUCCCUACAAUGACUUAACCCUGUGUUGCCAACCAAGAGGCCGCCUCUCCCUCCCCCCGUGACUCCCUUCCCUCCCCACCCCAAUCCCUGCCACAGCUCUUAGUGCACAUGUGCUCCCCUCUUUCAAACAGAUAAGUAAAAUCUUUUUAAAAAUAAAAUAAUAUAAAGCUGAGUGUAAAAAAAAAUUAAA
Long non-coding RNA from Canis lupus familiaris (dog), 1035 nucleotides. RefSeq lists it as uncharacterized. The record is from RefSeq and is a predicted model, not a curated record. The transcript has 2 exons. Lineage: Eukaryota; Metazoa; Chordata; Mammalia; Carnivora; Canidae.